AGUAAAUAUAUUAGACUACUACAGUACAGUAAACAUAUUAGACUACUACAGUACAGUAAAUAUAUUAUACUACUACAGUACAGUAAACAUAUUAGAAUACUACAGUACAGUAAACAUAUUAGAAUACUAGAGUACAGUAAACAUAUUAGAAUACUACAGUACAGUAAAUAUAUUAUACUACUACAGUACAGUAAACAUAUUAGAAUACUACAGUACAGUAAACAUAUUAGAAUACUACAGUACAGUAAACAUAUUAUACUACUACAAUACAGUAAAGAUAUUAGACUACUACAGUACUGUAAAGAUAUUAGACUACUACAGUACUGUAAAGAUAUUAGACUACUACAGUACAGUAAAGAUAUUAGACUACUACAGUACUGUAAAGAUAUUAGACUACUACAGUACAGUAAAGAUAUUAGACUACUACAGUACUGUAAAGAUAUUAGACUACUACAGUACUGUAAAGAUAUUAGACUACUACAGUACUGUAAAGAUAUUAGACUACUACAGUACUGUAAAGAUAUUAGUCAGGUUAGACAGACUAGAUAGACAAGUCAAGUUAGACAGACUAGACAGACUAGACGGACUAGUUAAGUUAGACAGACUGCUCAGGUUAGACAUACUAGACAGACUAGUCAAGUUAGACAGACUAGACAGACUAGACAGACUAGUCAAGUUAGACAGACUAGACAGACUAGUCAGACUAGACAGACUAGUCAAGUUAGACAGACUAGACAGACUAGUCAGACUAGACAGACUAGUCAGACUAGACAGACUAGUCAAGUUAGACAGACUAGACAGACAAGAGAUACUAGUCAGACUAGACAGACUAGACAGACUAGUCAAACUAGACAGACUAGACAGACUAGUCAAGUUAGACAGACUAGACAUACUAGACAAACUAGUCAAGUUAGACAGACUAGUCAGACUAGACAGACUAGACAGACUAGUCAGACUAGACAGACUAGUCAAGUUAGACAGACUAGACAGACUAGUAAAGUUAGACAGACUAGACAGACUAGUCAGACUAGACAGACUAGUCAAGUUAGACAGACUAGUUAAAUUAGACAGACUACUCAAACUAGACAGACUAGACAGACUAGUCAAGUUAGACAGACUAGACAGACUAGUCAGACUAGACAGACUAGUCAGACUAGACAGACUAGUCAAGUUAGACAGACUAGACAGACAAGAGAUACUAGUCAGACUAGACAGACUAGACAGACUAGUCAAGUUAGACAGACUAGACAGACUAGUCAAGUUAGACAGACUAGACAUACUAGACAAACUAGUCAAGUUAGACAGACUAGUCAGACUAGACAGACUAGACAGACUAGUCAGACUAGACAGACUAGUCAAGUUAGACAGACUAGACAGACUAGUAAAGUUAGACAGA
This is a long non-coding RNA of Oncorhynchus tshawytscha (Chinook salmon), 1396 nucleotides long. Lineage: Eukaryota; Metazoa; Chordata; Actinopteri; Salmoniformes; Salmonidae. The record is from Ensembl.